AGCGAACGCUGGCGGCAGGCUUAACACAUGCAAGUCGAGCGGGCAUCUUCGGAUGUCUGCGGCAGACGGGUGCGUAACACGUGGGAACGUACCCUUCGGUUCGGCACAACUCUGGGAAACUGGAGCUAAUACCGGAUACGCCCUUAUGGGGAAAGGUUUACUGCCGAAGGAUCGGCCCGCGUCUGAUUAGCUAGUUGGUGGGGUAACGGGCUAUCAAGGCGACGAUAAGUAGCUGGUCUGAGAGAAAGAUCAGCCACACUGGGACGGAGACACGGCGCGGACUCUUGCGGGAGGCGGGAAUGGGGAAUAUAGCAAAACGGCGUGAAGGCUGAUCCCGCCAUGCUGGGUGAGUGCCGAAGGCGUUAGGGUUGUAAAGCUCUUUUGUCCGGGACCAUAUUGACGGUACCGGAAGAAUAAGCCCCGGCUAACUUCGUG
This 435-nucleotide ribosomal RNA is filed under the name uncultured bacterium. RNAcentral describes it as "partial 16S ribosomal RNA". It matches the Rfam family "Bacterial small subunit ribosomal RNA", at positions 29 to 507 of the family's 1533-position model. The record is from RNAcentral.